GCGCGAGUGGCGGAACGGAAGACGCGAUGGUUUUAGGUGCCAUUGUCCUUUGGACGUGGGGGUUCGAGUCCCCCCUCGCGCA
Molecule: transfer RNA, 82 nt
Filed under: Mycobacterium sp. IS-3022
Lineage: Bacteria; Bacillati; Actinomycetota; Actinomycetes; Mycobacteriales; Mycobacteriaceae
Description: tRNA-Leu
Rfam family: tRNA
About the family: Transfer RNA (tRNA) molecules are approximately 80 nucleotides in length. Their secondary structure includes four short double-helical elements and three loops (D, anti-codon, and T loops).
Source: RNAcentral